AUGCCAGGGAGGCCAGGCCAUUGCCUAAAUUUUAAAGUAAUGCCAGGGAGGCCAGGCCAUUGAGAGGAGGUUUGUAAAGCUAUGGGUUUCAAGUAUUUUGCCCAGCAAUGAGAAAGCUAUCUAAUACAAUGUGUCAAGCAGAAAUGGAAAAAGCAGAAACUAUGAAAAUUCAGGUGUGAGGCACUAUUGCUCCAAAGCUACAAGCAUGGAGGCUGAGGGGUAAUAAUGAGGUGAAAAUCAGAACAAGUUUAGCCAUAGAAGGUUGAAGAAUAUUAAUAGGUGGCCCAAAGUCUUAUUUUUUUACAAAAAUGGGAAGUUAGCUGCAGAACCUCAGUACCCUCAAAUGUCAUUGGGAAGGGAUAGAAUAUAUCCUGCCCGCCGCACCCCCCCUUGCUGAAGUAUUAAUUUGCCCUUUCUCUGCUGUCUCAUAAGCAUUUAUAUCAACGUUCACAAGCUUUCAGCUCUGAUUUAGGAGGCAGUUCUUCAAAGACAGAGUAAAGAUCUUCAAUUUCUUCUUCAUCCCUGUCCAGCACUCUGCACAAGAGCUGGUGUUCAAUAAAUGUUUUUGGAACUCAGAUAUGAGGGAUGA
Long non-coding RNA from Chinchilla lanigera (long-tailed chinchilla), 589 nucleotides. RefSeq lists it as uncharacterized. The record is from RefSeq and is a predicted model, not a curated record. Lineage: Eukaryota; Metazoa; Chordata; Mammalia; Rodentia; Chinchillidae. The transcript is spliced from 3 exons.